RNAcentral lists this ribosomal RNA (2928 nucleotides) under Escherichia coli. RNAcentral describes it as "23S ribosomal RNA". It matches the Rfam family "Bacterial large subunit ribosomal RNA". The record is from RNAcentral. Lineage: Bacteria; Pseudomonadati; Pseudomonadota; Gammaproteobacteria; Enterobacterales; Enterobacteriaceae.
GGGUUGUGAGGUUAAGCGACUAAGCGUACACGGUGGAUGCCCUGGCAGUCAGAGGCGAUGAAGGACGUGCUAAUCUGCGAUAAGCGUCGGUAAGGUGAUAUGAACCGUUAUAACCGGCGAUUUCCGAAUGGGGAAACCCAGUGUGAUUCGUCACACUAUCAUUAACUGAAUCCAUAGGUUAAUGAGGCGAACCGGGGGAACUGAAACAUCUAAGUACCCCGAGGAAAAGAAAUCAACCGAGAUUCCCCCAGUAGCGGCGAGCGAACGGGGAGCAGCCCAGAGCCUGAAUCAGUGUGUGUGUUAGUGGAAGCGUCUGGAAAGGCGCGCGAUACAGGGUGACAGCCCCGUACACAAAAAUGCACAUACUGUGAGCUCGAUGAGUAGGGCGGGACACGUGGUAUCCUGUCUGAAUAUGGGGGGACCAUCCUCCAAGGCUAAAUACUCCUGACUGACCGAUAGUGAACCAGUACCGUGAGGGAAAGGCGAAAAGAACCCCGGCGAGGGGAGUGAAAAAGAACCUGAAACCGUGUACGUACAAGCAGUGGGAGCCUCUUAAUGGGGUGACUGCGUACCUUUUGUAUAAUGGGUCAGCGACUUAUAUUCUGUAGCAAGGUUAACCGAAUAGGGGAGCCGAAGGGAAACCGAGUCUUAACUGGGCGUUAAGUUGCAGGGUAUAGACCCGAAACCCGGUGAUCUAGCCAUGGGCAGGUUGAAGGUUGGGUAACACUAACUGGAGGACCGAACCGACUAAUGUUGAAAAAUUAGCGGAUGACUUGUGGCUGGGGGUGAAAGGCCAAUCAAACCGGGAGAUAGCUGGUUCUCCCCGAAAGCUAUUUAGGUAGCGCCUCGUGAAUUCAUCUCCGGGGGUAGAGCACUGUUUCGGCAAGGGGGUCAUCCCGACUUACCAACCCGAUGCAAACUGCGAAUACCGGAGAAUGUUAUCACGGGAGACACACGGCGGGUGCUAACGUCCGUCGUGAAGAGGGAAACAACCCAGACCGCCAGCUAAGGUCCCAAAGUCAUGGUUAAGUGGGAAACGAUGUGGGAAGGCCCAGACAGCCAGGAUGUUGGCUUAGAAGCAGCCAUCAUUUAAAGAAAGCGUAAUAGCUCACUGGUCGAGUCGGCCUGCGCGGAAGAUGUAACGGGGCUAAACCAUGCACCGAAGCUGCGGCAGCGACACUAUGUGUUGUUGGGUAGGGGAGCGUUCUGUAAGCCUGCGAAGGUGUACUGUGAGGUAUGCUGGAGGUAUCAGAAGUGCGAAUGCUGACAUAAGUAACGAUAAAGCGGGUGAAAAGCCCGCUCGCCGGAAGACCAAGGGUUCCUGUCCAACGUUAAUCGGGGCAGGGUGAGUCGACCCCUAAGGCGAGGCCGAAAGGCGUAGUCGAUGGGAAACAGGUUAAUAUUCCUGUACUUGGUGUUACUGCGAAGGGGGGACGGAGAAGGCUAUGUUGGCCGGGCGACGGUUGUCCCGGUUUAAGCGUGUAGGCUGGUUUUCCAGGCAAAUCCGGAAAAUCAAGGCUGAGGCGUGAUGACGAGGCACUACGGUGCUGAAGCAACAAAUGCCCUGCUUCCAGGAAAAGCCUCUAAGCAUCAGGUAACAUCAAAUCGUACCCCAAACCGACACAGGUGGUCAGGUAGAGAAUACCAAGGCGCUUGAGAGAACUCGGGUGAAGGAACUAGGCAAAAUGGUGCCGUAACUUCGGGAGAAGGCACGCUGAUAUGUAGGUGAAGUCCCUCGCGGAUGGAGCUGAAAUCAGUCGAAGAUACCAGCUGGCUGCAACUGUUUAUUAAAAACACAGCACUGUGCAAACACGAAAGUGGACGUAUACGGUGUGACGCCUGCCCGGUGCCGGAAGGUUAAUUGAUGGGGUUAGCGCAAGCGAAGCUCUUGAUCGAAGCCCCGGUAAACGGCGGCCGUAACUAUAACGGUCCUAAGGUAGCGAAAUUCCUUGUCGGGUAAGUUCCGACCUGCACGAAUGGCGUAAUGAUGGCCAGGCUGUCUCCACCCGAGACUCAGUGAAAUUGAACUCGCUGUGAAGAUGCAGUGUACCCGCGGCAAGACGGAAAGACCCCGUGAACCUUUACUAUAGCUUGACACUGAACAUUGAGCCUUGAUGUGUAGGAUAGGUGGGAGGCUUUGAAGUGUGGACGCCAGUCUGCAUGGAGCCGACCUUGAAAUACCACCCUUUAAUGUUUGAUGUUCUAACGUUGGCCCCUGAUCGGGGUUGCGGACAGUGUCUGGUGGGUAGUUUGACUGGGGCGGUCUCCUCCUAAAGAGUAACGGAGGAGCACGAAGGUUGGCUAAUCCUGGUCGGACAUCAGGAGGUUAGUGCAAUGGCAUAAGCCAGCUUGACUGCGAGCGUGACGGCGCGAGCAGGUGCGAAAGCAGGUCAUAGUGAUCCGGUGGUUCUGAAUGGAAGGGCCAUCGCUCAACGGAUAAAAGGUACUCCGGGGAUAACAGGCUGAUACCGCCCAAGAGUUCAUAUCGACGGCGGUGUUUGGCACCUCGAUGUCGGCUCAUCACAUCCUGGGGCUGAAGUAGGUCCCAAGGGUAUGGCUGUUCGCCAUUUAAAGUGGUACGCGAGCUGGGUUUAGAACGUCGUGAGACAGUUCGGUCCCUAUCUGCCGUGGGCGCUGGAGAACUGAGGGGGGCUGCUCCUAGUACGAGAGGACCGGAGUGGACGCAUCACUGGUGUUCGGGUUGUCAUGCCAAUGGCACUGCCCGGUAGCUAAAUGCGGAAGAGAUAAGUGCUGAAAGCAUCUAAGCACGAAACUUGCCCCGAGAUGAGUUCUCCCUGACUCCCUGAGAGUCCUGAAGGAACGUUGAAGACGACGACGUUGAUAGGCCGGGUGUGUAAGCGCAGCGAUGCGUUGAGCUAACCGGUACUAAUGAACCGUGAGGCUUAACCUUACAACGCCGAAGCUGUU